ACGGGAGGCAGCAGUGGGGAAUAUUGGGCAAUGGGCGCAAGCCUGACCCAGCAACGCCGCGUGAGGGAUGAAGGUCUUCGGAUUGUAAACUUCUUUGAUCAGGGACGAAAUUUUGACGGUACCUGAAGAACAAGUCACGGCUAACUACGUGCCAGCAGCCGCGGUAAUACGUAGGUGACAAGCGUUAUCCGGAUUUACUGGGUGUAAAGGGCGUGUAGGCGGUUUGGCAAGUCAGAAGUGAAAUUCCCGGGCUUAACUUGGGCGCUGCUUCUGAAACUGCUUAACUUGAGUACUGGAGAGGAUAGUGGAAUUCCUAGUGUAGCGGUGAAAUGCGUAGAUAUUAGGAGGAACACCAGUGGCGAAGGCGGCUUACUGGACUGUAACUGACGUUGAGGCUCGAAAGCGUGGGGAGCAAACAGGAUUAGAUACCCUGGUA
Molecule: ribosomal RNA, 436 nt
Filed under: uncultured Saccharofermentans sp.
Lineage: Bacteria; Bacillati; Bacillota; Clostridia; Eubacteriales; Oscillospiraceae
Description: partial 16S ribosomal RNA
Rfam family: Bacterial small subunit ribosomal RNA
Source: RNAcentral